Molecule: long non-coding RNA, 334 nt
Organism: Anthonomus grandis grandis
Lineage: Eukaryota; Metazoa; Arthropoda; Insecta; Coleoptera; Curculionidae
Exons: 2
Source: RefSeq, a predicted model, not a curated record
ACUAAUAUUUAAUUUAACAUUUUAGCACGAAUAUGUUCAGACCAUUUUAAAGAAGACUGCUUUGAAAUUCCUCUGAGAGAAAAGCUAUUAAAUUACACUCCAACGUUAGUGGCUUUUUAAGGCCUGAUGAUGCUCUGAAUAGAGCGAAACACGUGUAGCUUUAAGUAAAUGUUGUGAGACCAUGACUUUGUGUUUUUUAUUGUUUUUCGUCUGUUGUAUUCGUCUCUUUGUGAAAAAUGGAUGAGAUUUUCUUAUUUGAACUAAUUGAUAAGAUAUAUUCACUUUAUAAUAAUUUUCUAAGUUUAUAAUAUUUAAAUAUCCUGUGUUUAUUACA